Molecule: ribosomal RNA, 492 nt
Filed under: uncultured bacterium
Lineage: Bacteria
Description: partial 16S ribosomal RNA
Rfam family: Bacterial small subunit ribosomal RNA
Source: RNAcentral
AUUGAACGCUGGCGGCAUGCUUUACACAUGCAAGUCGAACGGUAACAGGCCUUCGGGUGCUGACGAGUGGCGAACGGGUGAGUAAUGCAUCGGAACGUACCCAGAGGUGGGGGAUAACGCAGCGAAAGCUGUGCUAAUACCGCAUGUGAUCUGAGGAUGAAAGCGGGGGACCGAGCAGCAAUGUUUGGCCUCGCGCCUUUGGAGCGGCCGAUGUCGGAUUAGCUAGUUGGUGGGGUAAAGGCCUACCAAGGCGACGAUCCGUAGCUGGUCUGAGAGGACGACCGGCCACACUGGGACUGAGACACGGCCCAGACUCCUACGGGAGGCAGCAGUGGGGAAUUUUGGACAAUGGGCGCAAGCCUGAUCCAGCAAGGCCGCGUGCGGGAAGAAGGCCUUCGGGUUGUAAACCGCUUUUGGCAGGAACGAAACGGUGUCCGCUAAUACCGGGCGCUAAUGACGGUACCUGCAGAAUAAGCACCGGCUAACUACGUG